ACGCCUGUAGCUCAGAUGGUCAGAGCGCCGCUCUCAUAAGGCGGAUGUCCCUGGUUCGAGUCCAGGCAGGCGUACCA
This 77-nucleotide transfer RNA is filed under the name SAR202 cluster bacterium. RNAcentral's name for it is "tRNA-Met". It matches the Rfam family "tRNA". Rfam says of the family: Transfer RNA (tRNA) molecules are approximately 80 nucleotides in length. The record is from RNAcentral. Lineage: Bacteria; Bacillati; Chloroflexota; Dehalococcoidia.